Molecule: ribosomal RNA, 478 nt
Filed under: uncultured bacterium
Lineage: Bacteria
Description: bacterial SSU rRNA
Rfam family: Bacterial small subunit ribosomal RNA
Source: RNAcentral
GAUGAUCGCUGGCGGCGUGUCUAAGGCAUGCAAGUCGUGCGGAUUUCAUUUGGUAGCAAUACCGAGUGAAGUCAGCGGCAAACGGGUGCGUAACACAUUGGUGACCUGCCUCACAGUCGGGCAUAACUCUCCGAAAGGAGAGCUAAUUCCACGAUGGUCUCCGGGAUCGAAUCCGGAGUAAAGCGCAAAACGCGCUGUGAGAGGGGCCUAUGGCCUAUCAGCUAGUUGGCGGGUAAAGCCCACCAAGGCUAUGACGGUAGGGAUGUGAGAGCAUGAUCCCCCUACUGGGACUGAGACACUGCCCAGACACCUACGGGUGCUGCAGUCGAGAAUAUUCCUCAAUGGGCGAAAGCCUGAAGGAGCGACGCCGCGUGCAGGGAUGAAGGGCUUCGGCUCGUAAACUGCUUUUUCCAGGGAAGAACAUUGACGGUUACCUAGGGAAUAAGGAGGUUGCUAACUCUGUGCCAGCAGCCGCGGU